GCAAACAGCCUGUCUUAACAGAACUACUGGAAUGGCUAAUAAUGCCUUCCCUACCCAUGGAAUUGACCUGCAAGUCAACAGUUUGAGGGAUGAGUGCAGUCUGUAUCCUUGAGCAAAGGAGGAUCAAGGCCUGGAUCUGGGAUGCAUUUGCUGUCUCCAAGGGAUCAUGCUACUCUCUUCAUUAUGUCUGUUUUCCCUGGAUACUAAUAAAAAAAUACCAAUUACCACACAAAGAUGCCUCAUUCACCAUCUGAACGACCUAUUAGAUGAUAUCUAAGUGCUUUUUGAUAAGGUUGUGAGUAUUGAGACAGCCUCCAGAAGGUAACAGUACUUCUUAACUUAUAAGACUAUCAUUAACUACACGUAUGUGGCCUUCUUUGUCUAUAUAUAUAUAUAUAUCAGAAUAGUUACAAAAUGUAUCUGAUGUUGGAGAAGCUCUUUUUCUCCUCUAAACUGACCACAAACAAUAAACACUGGUCACUGAGUUACCUGUUCA
RNAcentral lists this long non-coding RNA (496 nucleotides) under Zonotrichia albicollis (white-throated sparrow). RNAcentral's name for it is "lncRNA (ENSZALG00000007862.1)". The record is from RNAcentral. Lineage: Eukaryota; Metazoa; Chordata; Aves; Passeriformes; Passerellidae.